GCUUUCUUGCUCUGAUAUUUCUUCUAGGAAAUGGCUUUCUAUGAUCCUUCUAUAAAGUUAUAGAAGGAUCAUAGAAAUAGAUAUAGAUCUAUGAUCCUUCUAUAAAGCACACACUGGCUCUACAUAGCUAAUAAAAUAUUUGCUCAUUUGUCUUUUCAGCAAGAACUAUAAUGUUUAGAAGCCUUAAUAAUUACAAUCCUAAAACAUUACUUUUGUUAUGAAGAAGGUACUACUUACAUUCUCUUUAUUAAACUGAAGGUAUUUAAUCUAUCAGAGAGGAGUCGGAUAGAAUUGUUAUGGGGGACUAGAAUUAAACUGCCCACAUAGCGUCUCUGAGAACUGGCACACUGAUUAUCAAGACAGAAUCUAAGAUUUACAGUGGGCUAUAUUUUCUUAUGUAUAAUUUGAACAUCAGACCACAAUCACUUCCUUAAAAGCACUGACCUUUGAAAAACCAAACUUUCAGAAAAGCUGCCAAAACACAGAAGCAAAGUGACACUGAGAUUAAAGGAUAUUAUUUAUAGCUAACUCUUUCUAUUGACUAUUCACAAGUUAGAGGUAUUAUUCCUUCAAGACAACUCACACAGAAAUGCAUGCAAGACCAGUAGUACUUGCCAUAUUAAAUAAGAUCAGUAUACCAUCUAGUUCAGCAUCCUGACAUGGACUUCUAUUUUAUUGUUCAUACAAAUACCAAAUCCUCUCAAUAUGUGGAAGGUUGGCUUUCAGUUAUGUCUAUGUAUGGGGAUUUUUUUUCCUAAAAAGUUUUUUACUGUCUUAUGACUUGGAGAACUUCAGUUGUUGUGAGUUUACAUAAAUAUAUAAAAUACCUCUACCUGUUUGGAUGUAAUUUUGAAUGUCCCUCUAUUCUACAAAACUGCUUAUUUAAAAAAUUAAUUUAGUAUGCUUUAACCUUUCUAUGCUGAUUUUGUUGCAGAGAGUCAUACAGGUCAACUAUGGGCUCAAUAAAAUAUUUACUCUUCCAUUUGCUAUCUUCCAAGUUAGACUUCUGUUAUUCAGUCUUUCUAAAAUGACUUGGUCAUGACUCCUCUAUUUUUUUCAUUGGUUUCUAUCUCUCUUGCUUGAUUCCCUCUUACUUAUUUUCAUGUUCAAUCUUCCCUGUAUCUAAUUGUUCCUGUUACAUCACUUUGCAGAGAAAUACUAGAAUUGAUCACUGUAUUCCAGGUAAGUGAUAUCUUCUCCAUUUUGAUAUACCACCAUACUUUGUUUUGCACAGUCUCUAAGUAGCUUACAACAAUGUCCAACUUCUAGAAGACUACAUCAAACCCAGCACUGUGUUCAACCAUUCCAUGCUAUUCUUACACUCUGCAUCAGCAUCCAGCACCAACAGGUACCAAGCUUUCUCCUUUAACCUUUCUCACAUACUGCUUUUGACCAAUCUAAGUAGUUGUAUAGCACCACUGCUUUGUCUCUUCAUAAUUCAGUGGACACCCUCCACACAGGAGUCCCCAGAGGUUUGGUGUUGUCUGUUUCUGUCAGGUGCUCUUCUUCUUCAUAUCAGGUGUUUUGCCAAACCACUGCUCCUUCAGAUUUCCCUAGGUCCAGGUGACCUGUUGCAACACCGAGCUCCUCAGGGAGGGGAGGGAGAUACUCUCAGCGUCCUCCCCAUAUACAUUCACCCAGCUGGCAGAGUACCCAACCCAACCAUGGUGGCACAACACUACAAAUAUGCACACCCUUUUGCUGGUUUGAGUCAGUAUCCCUGAGGAGCAGUCUGCCCUUUCAAGUCUGCUCACAAUCUCAAAACGCUCCAAAAGAUGAAGGGAAUUACGUGCUACAUUAUAAAGUUAUGCAAAAGUCCUUCAUUCAACCCAAGCAUAAUAUAACUCACUGAAAUAUGAUGAAGACCAAUGAUAACAUUUACAUCGAUUUUACACAGUUCUUUUUAUAAACCUUUGAAAUUUUCUAUGUGUUUAAACAAUGAAAUAUACCCUUCUUCAUAACUGGUCUAUAAUCCUCUUAGACAAAAGGGAAAUGUCAGUUGAUGGUAGAGCCACGUGGCAGAGAUCACAAAUACGUUUCAAUUACUUUUUCCAUUGCAAGGAGAAACACAACAGUAACCAAAGCGAUCAGAAACCUGCCUUACAAAAAUUCAUAUCAACAACAACAUGAUGGAAGUAGAUGGUUAGGAAGUUUACGUAAAGUCAAGCUGUUGAUUAGGCCAUAAAUUAGCAGACGUCAUCUACUACACAGAGUGAAAGAAAUUCCGAAGAUAAACUAUAUUAUGCAGCAUAUCUAUACGUGACAAAGCAUCUACUCAGACUCAAAUUGUCUUCUGAGAAAGGUAUUUUGCCUUUUCUACCAGCUAUGCAUUGGGAAGAACACAAGUGAACAACUUUAGGGAUGACUAGAUACACAGGUAGUUAAUAACUUUUUAGCAGAUGUAAGCCACAUUUCUCCGUAUCACAGACAGAAAAAAGAAUUUAAAGGACUGGAAAAAUAGGUGAAAACUGGUCCAUAGCUAAAAACGUGCAAAUCAGUAGUGCUGGGCAACUAGAAAGGACUUUCUCUCAGAAGCUUGAGACACAUCAAAACAAUUAAAAGAAGACAUUUAAACUAGCUGUAUGUGAAAAGCAGGAGUGAAAAUUCAAGAGGUCACCAACACAGUUUCAUUAAACAAGUCUGAGAAUUCUGAUUUCCAGCCAGGCUGAAAGAAUAAGGAGAAAAAAAUCCCCUUUAUGGUGGGCAAUUUUAAGCUAAGGAAAACCAUUUAUGUCACAUUUUUGCUGCCUCCUCAGUUGAGCCAUUAAUGGAACUGGUUUUGUGUGCGCUGGGAGAGGGAGGAGGAAGACAUGCUGUAAACUGAACUGAUUAACUGAUCUGGGUCAAAAAAAUGAAGGAAAGUGAGGAGGCAAUUUGUUCAAAACCUAGUUCAUUUCACUAAUUAAAGCUUAUGGUGCAGUCUUCAAACAGCUGCAGUAGCCUAAUUAGGGAGGGGAUGAAGGGCGUGGCAGAAACUGCUUAAGCUAGUUUUGCCAUAAAGGAAAUCAUUAAGUCCAUGCUUACACAGUAGCAUUAGGGGUGAUUUAAAACUCCAGCUGAAGUGAUUUGAUUUACUGCUGUUUCAGCUCCCUCCAAUGAUUUAUCCCUAAAACCUCACUAGAAGAAAAGCGGUGAAAAAAUAUUUGAACAAUUAAAUUAAUCAUGAGAAUUACAUCUUUCCCAUAAUGAUUUUUCACCUCAUCACUUCUCAGAAUAGAUAAUUCUGUUUUGCCAAUUUCUAGGUACAAUUUCAGUGUGAAAUUACAGGCACUCUUCCAAAGCAAAGAGACUGCAGCAUACUGACUUGCAUGUACCUACUGACUGACUGUACACAUCUUCAGUUCCUUCUGAAAUCAUCUUCUGCUGCUGUUAGUCAUCAGCAUCUUCUGCUGCUGUUAGUCAUCAGUGCCAAAGACUGUUAAUUCCUCAGAACCACCAUCCUGCCUGCCAGCGAAGUUUGGAGUCAGCUCAGAAAGAAUCGGUUCAUAUAAUAAGCUCACUAAUGUUACCUGCUGCACCAAGAAAGGUGGAAAUAGCAUUGAACACGGUCAGUUUUGUAAUAGUAUUGUGUAAGUCAUUUGCGUGGCUGUCAGGAUCAUCUGAAUCAAAGGUAUCAACCCAACAGCAUGGAUAUACUGGCACCCAGUUUAAAGGUGGCUUCAAAACUAAUUUCUACCAGAACAGUUGUACAUCAAAGCAUUUAUAUCUUGCAAAGCAUAUAAAGGCUACCACAUCUGUUCAUACACAGGGAGGAAUAUUUCCCCCGCCCAAAGAAAAGAACAGAUCUAGAAACUCUGCCCACGGAUUCUGGGAAGAUGGGGUGCUGGUGAAUAAAAGCGUGGAAAAUGUCUGAAGAAAAGCAAGGAAUAUUCCCCAUACAUAGAUAUAUACAAUGAGAUAAAAAGUUUGCUUCAUGAUCUUACAUUUGGUAUUGUUUUAACCCCCAAGGGAUUUGCAUCACUGCUGGCAAAAAAACACUCCUCUUUAAUUCCUGUACUGACUAACAUGCCAUGCGUCAGCCUAAACACACACCGUGACCUACUGACACACUACACACCCAUUCUCAGAAAGCACAGCAAUCCUAUGUGAAUAGUUUAGUCUGCAUGAGGUCUUAUUGAGCUUGAUCUUUGCACAGGAUAAUUCUGUUGGGAAAUUACCUAAAUUAAAUAAAUACUUAGCAUCAAAAAUUUACAUUAAAAUAGUCAGUUUUUAAAAAAUAAUUUGUGAAUAAUUGUAUUUUUAAAUGAAUGUUGUAAGCAUUUAGAAGUCAACAUGUAAUUAAUUAAAAUAAAAUCAUUAAGAAAAUAUUACAUAUUAUCACACUAGAAAUGCAGUGGAAAAGGAAAAAGAAUGAUUAUACUGAGCACUGUGAGACAGAGUCUAUAUGCUACUGGCAACAUCAGUAUUUAACCUACCUACUUUUUUUUUUUUUCCUUUUUUAAAAUAGCAAUCAUCAAUGAGAAAAAUACUUGAAUAGCAAUUUUGAAAAACAAAAAAAAACACAAUCACGGAGAUCAUCAUUAAAUGGAGCAGUAGGGGAAAGAAAAACAACAACAUUCACAUAUUACAAUUCCCUUUUGGAGACAAACUUUUAAGCUCCCAGUCUCAAAAUCAGCCCCACAUUUUUUUCAUAUAUCCUCACAGAAUCAGAAUCACAGGUUGUGGUUGGAGGGGACCUCUGGAUCCAUCUGCUCCAACAGGGCCUGGCUCUCUCCACUUGGCACUCUCCCUUCAUGUAUUUACAGACAUUGAUGAGAUGCCCCUCAGCCUGGAGAAGAGGACGCUUAACAGUAUCAGCCUUUCUUCAUGGGUGGGGAUGCUCCAGUCCCUUCAUCAUUUCUGUGGCCCCACUUCUCUCAUAUGCUGGGGAGCCCAGAACAGGACACAACACUCCAAGUGUGGUCUUACCAGUGUUGAGCAUUGAGGAGGGAUCACCUCCCUUGACCUGCUGGCAACACUCCUCAUGCAGCCCAUGACACCAUUCACCUGUAUGAUAUUAAGGCUGCCCUACAUCUUCCUACAUAACAUGAAAUACUCCAGGUGGGAAACUGAAAUUGUAGCAUGAGCAUGUCUUUCUAAGUCCUUUUAUUUUUUUUCCUAUAUCAAUUAUGCAUCAAGAGGAACUGUGCCACUGUAAAUAUACAGAUUAACAAUAAAACACAAAAAUCCUUUUAUUUCUGUCUCCAAAUUCUGACAUACUUUCACAUGAAUUAUUAUUAAUCUUUUCUCUCAUGUAGAGAUGAAAAUUUGAAAAUGUUUAUUCAAACUAGGAAAAAAAAACAUUCUUGAAGAUUGAUGAAAAAUAGCUUUGCAAAGCUCCACCCAUGAGUUAGCUAUUAUCUCCAUCCAUAAGUAGUAAUAUAAGAAUGUACAUUAAAAACAUUUUUCAAUUAAAUACAAGUGACAUAAUAUAAAGCAGUACAACUACCCUGUUACCACUUCAAUCACCAAGAAAAAAGCUGCAGCUAGUGCAGGGAGACCCUUGGAAAUUAUAUAUUUAGGAAUGAUAAUUUUCUACUUAAAUGUUGACAACUUUGAUACUCUUUGCUCUCCACAGAGGCAGUAAGAGAAAUAACAAGAUGUUACGAAAAAGAAAAUCUUUGUUCCACUUGUUGGCAAAACUAGUCCUUUACAAUAAGAAAAUAGCUUGGUUGUGCAACAAGAACUGAGAUCUUAAGUUUUUCCAUCUAAAUUUUAUGAAAAAAAAUAAUUAUCAUAUUAUUUAAAUCAUCAAGUAUAUGACAACUCUGGUCCAGAACAAAUUAUUUUAGCUAUAGAAAUGUUAAGUAUAGCAAUGGAAGAAAGAAAUGUGGAAAAAAGUAAGACUUGCACAGCCAGUUUGUUUGCAUCAGCACAGUAACUGUGGAUCUGUACAGCGGAACAAUUGCUUGCAUGGACCUAAGGUCAUCAUAUUUGCGCAAGUCGGAGUUUAACAGAUUUGCUUUACUUUUUUCACAGCGACUGGACAUCCAUUUUAGUAGUUGAGGUGCACUUGCAACCUCUCCAAGGUUGCCUCCUUCAGCUUUGUUCCGCUGAAGAGGAAUCCAGUUUGCAUGCUCCAAGGCCACUCCACAGCAUGCACCAUCAGUGGGAAUGAUCUGGAGACUCAGUUCUCAGUAGCACACUCCUGACCUGAACCAAAGCACUACUGCAGAUGUACCCACACAGGGCCAAGAAAUCUGGCAGGCCUCAGCAGCCUUCAAAGUUUGAAAAUGAAUUCAACAGCAUCUCUGCAGCAUCACCUCCUGCACUUCCACUCAGCAGGCCCCUGCCAGAGCAGCUUAAAAGUGCAGUUCCUUAUAUGAGAAAUGCUUCCUUUUCCCCGAUGGGCUCCAGUUUCCAUAGGAAAUAUCUUCACUUAUAAAUAGUUUCUGAAUUGCCACGAUGACUCAUAGAGAUGGCAGAUGAGUGAUGACAGUAUUAAUGCUCUGUGGGGCUACCUGAACCACAGGCCGCUCAAGAACAUACAACGACACUCCACAAUCUGGAAGGAAACUAGACAUAACUAGGCCAGCCCAAACAAAUACUAAUACUUCCUUAAUUCUAACCUAAUUCUACGCUUCUAUCCACCACAUGGUUCACUCCAUUUCUCACUCACCACACCAUGUGAGCCAAUGCAAAGAUUACAGCUGGAUGGGCAUGCUGAAUGGCUAGAAAUAUUUUGAUCAUUUACUGUGACUACUGUUUCAGUCAGUUAUUACCUAUAGUUUUUAUUUAAUGCAGUGGAAAAUAUUACCUUCACUGCUGUACAGUUGUAAUGAUGAACUAGUCACGCACCAGUGGCUAUAAGGAAGUGCUCAGCACAAUGCUACGCAGGAAAAUGGGUUCUACUAGAGCCGCAUAAAUGGCAGUUCCACCACACAGGAGCCAAAUGCAGCCAAAAGUGCAAGUACAGAAAAUAACAAGACCCUUCCACGCCCCAGAUGAUUAUUAGUGAAUGGUUGGUGAAGUAACCUCUUUACUCAACCACAGGGUUAGGUAGAAACACAACUCAAAAGGUAAUAACUUUAAGUGAAAAAUGAGAGCAUCUUCUGUGUUGCAGCCUGACACUGGAUCUCCCUAAUCCUGCCUGGAUACAUUACAUCUGAGUAAAGCACACAUCAGCAGUCCAAGGGAACUUUCUCAAGCAGUCUAAAUGAAAGCAGAUUGCUUGCCUCUACAAAAGGGCCUACUGUGUGAAACAAAGGUGGCACAACUCCAGGUGAGGCACGUGCUCCAUUUCCAGGGCUAUUAAACACAUCAUUAGAAAGGACACAUGCUCUUUAGGAAAAGCUUGAGUUCUCCAGGCACUGAACUAGUAGAGCUUUCCCAUUUACCAUGUGUGAACACAAAACCAGAUUUUUUAAACCUUACUGUAAGCUACAUGGUUCCUAUGAAACUGUUAAUUGUGAAAUGUCUGUAAUAACGUGCUUAACCUUGAGCCCAGCAUGAAGUUUGUAGUGGCUGGACAGAGUCCUGAUAGCUUCAAUCACGUUUUGUGAAGAGAUGUGUCAUCAAGGACUUCAUAUUCUAUGUGGACACAUCUUCGUACAGAGCUCAAGACAGGAGCAAAGACUAGAUAUGUGAGCGCAUUCAGCAGACAUAAGUCUGCUAAACCGAUAUGUCAAAGCAUUCAGGCUUCAAUUCUAUCACAGAUGACAGCCAAAUAUAUGCAGGCAUUGCUGCAUUUGCUAGCUUAAGAACAGCAGCAAAACUAACUACUAUUGUUUUAAAACCCGAAGUUUGUAUACCGGGAUUUGGCUCUUCUUAGUGCUCUUCUGGAUUUAAGACCCUGUAAGGGUUAAAAUGCAAUCAAACCAGGAUCCUUUUGGUACUGGCCUUCCCCCCACCUCUCAAUAACAGCACACUGCUAGAAAUACCAAAACUAGAGCAUUACAUUUUUUAGAACUGCCUCUAGCAGUCAUUUAGCAUAAGUAAUGCAACAUGCAUCUUGCAUCAAGAGUUUCCCUGAAAUCUCAGCUUCAUUUUUCAGUGUGGGGGGAGAGGAAUAUGAAAAUGACAGAAGUCUGCUGAAUAACAGACAACCCCACUAGGUCAAAAGCAAGGUUAGACUUCCUGAGGACUCCUCAGAGAAUUCAGCAAGGAAAAUUCCAGUUAUUCUUUUGUUAGCUUACCUGCCUGCUAGGCAACAGAUGGUCAAAAAAUCUGUAUCGAAGUGCCCCCUCCCUCCUACCAGACUACUUUAUUAUGAAUGUUCCCUGAUAGAAAAAACUCUGCCUCAGUAACUAAAAUUUGAUGAAAGAGAAACAUGAAUGGAUUUUAGUAAGGAACAUCUUGUAGUCCUCUGAAUGUCAGAAAACAAGGCAAGGUUUUGCGCUUAUCUUUUGGUAUGGGUUUUUGCUCUGUUAGGUUUAGCAACACACACAUUGCAGCAAUGUUGCCACAAUAAUGGAUUUUUAAAGGAACUGAUCACCAAGAUUUAAAAAAGCAAUCAAAGAAACAGGCUUAUUAAAAAUCUUCUUAAGAACUUCAACAUCAAUUCCAAGGUACUGAAAAAGGUACAAACCUUUCUGCAAUUCUUCCUGGGAUUUACAUCCCAAAACGUUCAAUGUGGAGGAAAAAUAAAUAAAUCUUAACACGGGAAAUGUUUUGGCAGAACAGAGAAUGUGACAUUACUGAAUAGAUUUAGUCACUAUUUUGUACAUGACGGUGAUCUUCUCAUUUCAUAUGUUAAUUUGGCAAAAAGCAUCAUGAUACUUUCACCUUCACAACAGCAUAAGUGAUAUAUCUUGAAAAACAGUAAUACUUCCAGAUUUCAUCUUUAGGUAUGGCAGUCUGCAACAAUGACACCUACACAAAAAUUAAUUUUAGUAGCUUAGGAAUGCAUUUAGCAUUUAAGUGGCAGUGAACCUGUGAAGAUAUGCACAUUCUGAAGAGACAAGCAGAAGAUGGAAACGCUUCUGUCUUGGAAAAGGCCUGGAAUUAUGGUUUCAUUUCGUGCUGCAAUUUUCUCUUUCCCCACCUCCUCUAAUCUUCCUGAAAUGGGAUUUAAAAUUCUAUCAAUUACUUCAGUCUUCCAACACUUGAAAGACCUUGUUUAUGCGCAGUAUACUACAGGGAUGUGCCAGCUGCCACUGCUGAGCCCACCACCUGUGCAGUACAGUACUCAGCUUGAAAAGAACGAGUCUAGUACUGUUUACUGGGAAGAGGCUUCUAAAAAUUGAUAAUGAGCACCUGGUACCAUCCCAAAUGUAUCUUGGGAGGUGUCAAAAGCUUUGAAUGUGUUGCAGUGGCACUUACUGCAGUACUUUCAUCACAUCUAAUUAGUGAAGAAUACCUAUCUAAUCUUGCUAAGUUAUCAUUUCUUGCACUGAAAUGAGCCACAGUUGUUCUUCCUAUCAUCUGGGAAUAAAAAGAAACAGCCAGCUGCAUAUUAGUAUGCUUCCCACCUCUACUCUGAAACAAAAAUUGCUUUAUUGCACAACCAGGAAGAACAGAGCAUGAAAACAGUGAAUGAAACUGGUAUUGUGAGCAGUAAAGAAUUAUCAAGCAGCAUUAAAAAUUAAGCAAUUUCAUGCUGGGAAGUUGAAAACAAAUCCGUAAGGAACAUAUUUCCAUUAAAAUGCAACCUCACAUGGAAGAAAGUAUUAUCUACCAAAUACAACAGGGAAUAGGAAUUUAUACUUCUAAUCUUGCUGCUGAUUUGAUAUGUGGAACUCUGGGAAAUUACUAGCAUCAGCUCCCUCGUUUGGCAGAGGAAGACACACAGUCCUUACAUAUCUUUGCAAUAUGCUUCAGUAUUUCAAACUUAAAUCAGUCAGAUGUGAUAAUACAUUUGCAUGUAAAUAAAUCCUUUCUCCACCUACAGUUUUAAUAACCACUUCCUAGAAAUACAAAGAAUUCAACAAUAUACAGAGCAAAAAAAGAAGCCUAUCAACCCAAGCAGCAGCAAUCAGUGAAUCAACCAACCAAAACAGAGAGAUUAAAGUGCAUCAGUCUCCACUUUCAUGGAAGGUAUAUUCCAUCUGGAAUAUUUAUUUCUAACUUGAAGUUAACAUUUAACACUUCUAAAAUUAAAAGACACAGUUUACAAAGGGGCCAAAGUGAAAUAUUUCUCAGAUGAGGUGGAUUAUUUUAAAUCACAAUCCUUAAUAUGAUGUUUGAUGGUACUCUGCUAUCUGCAUAUAGUCUAGCUAGAUAUACUCACCAUUUUAUGUUCAAAACAGAAUAUUAAUUUGUGAGGCUAAAUGGGGAAAAUACUCUAGCUGUCCUGAGAGCUAGGCUACUGAACCAUAAGCAGAUUUUACAGACAUUGAAUAUUGAAUCAUUCACAUAUUUAGGACAGCCCAUCAUAGCAAACACCAACUGCAGGAACCAUAAACUCAAUUAGUCACAUUGGAAUUGGGAUAGUCAAGAUAAUCGCAACUGUCUAUGCGCUACCAACAAUUAAGAGGAAAGCAAAAGGAAAGAACAGCAUUGUAAUUGCACAUACUAUGAUGAGGAAGCAUAGAUAGCUUUGUUCAACUAGAAAUUAUUUAGAAAUAAAUAGCAACGUAGCGCUUAGAAAGGCAAACUACAGAUACAAUACAUCUGGAUAACAAUAUAAAGAUACCAACAGAGCAACUUCAAUGCUAUGCAGCUUCAAACACCAUACUGCCUGUUCAGAUUAAUGGUAAUUUAUUUUAAAAUGAUGUUUCUUCAGUUUGCUAGCAAAAUGCCUCUUGAGUGGUAUUUCAUGUCUUUAGAAAUUCUUGCAACUAUAGUAUCAAUGAUGACUCCAGAUCUCAUUUCCUUAAGUCCCCAUACCUUAAGGUUGUAUAUGCAUCUGAACCUGCUUAGCAACCACCCAGCCCCCUCCUAUCAGUGCAUUUGCAAAGGACAGUCAGCAAGAAAAAGGCUAGACUGAUGCAACUCGUGACUAAGGGAAGUGAGUUGCUGUAAGCCGGACCCCUCAGACCUCUGUACUCUGUGGGGGAGGAAAAGGUGAUAAACUGGCUGGUAAUCCCAAAAUAAAGGCCUAGCACUGAAAAGUCUGGGUCAGCAAUGACUGACAGCUUGCACAUCUUAUCAAGGGAAGUAUUUCUGUGCAAGCAUCUGGCCCCAGGAACACAUCCAGUUUCUUGUAAUCGUCAGCAAUCAGGACUUAUAAAGUAAUUACAGUAACUGUACAGGAUAGUACGACUGCAUUAGUUCCUCAUUAGUUUCAAAGAUGAUGAAAUUUAUCAUAUAAUACUAAUUAUCUAGUGGGAAAAAAUACAGCUCCCCUCAAGAUGCAUGCAUCUGAGGUACAGCAGAUAGAUUCCUAUCAGGGUGUAGAAAUACUUCAGUGAUGGCAUCUGUAUUAACAAAGAGGAGUCCUGUUAAAUUCUUUCAGUUUUGCUAGCUGUCACUUUAAUCUUGCUUGAAAUAAUGCUUCUUUACAAGCAGCAGUCAGUAAUUGUCAGAUACAUCAUCAGUACAGGAAACAUGUUCUUAGGUUGCCGGCCUCUUUCUUACAUCUGUUGUCAGUUUGGCUGUGCAUUUUGGAUUCUCUCCGUGCUUUCACCAAAUUGUCACACUAGGCAUCUGAUUUAAUCUAAGACAUCCUGCCAAGAAAGAAAAUCCUUUUCCCUUUGUGGGUCUACCCCUAUUACAGUAGUUGUAGCUUACCUAAAAGCAGCAACUCAGAGCAAACUAAUCCCGCAGAAAGUGAUUAUUUUUUUUUCCUAGGCUGAUAAACUGACUUGGCUAACUGUUGUGGUCCAGGAAGCAAUACAUCUAGCACAGGGAAUAAGGUAGGGCCAUAGGGUGGCAGACAGGAGUCCAAGCUGUGCUCCUUCCAGAGGCAGAGUUGCUAUGUAGCUCAGCACAUUUUAUUUUAUUUCACCCUUUAAGGGAUGAGUCUGGGCACAACUAAGCUGAUGUCUCCUUGACUCUUGGAAGAGUCCAGAACAAUGCCUGAGAAGCAACCAGUCACUGAAUUGGGCCUGGUGUCACCUUUUUGGUUUGACUGGUGGCUAGUGUCUUCACCAAGUCUGGAACUCGAGCCAGCUACAAUUCCAAGUAAAGGCUAGGGAAGACCAUCCCUUCCCUUUUUGCGUUGAUGCUACAAAUAGGGAGGCUGGCCCACACUCUCUUUUUUGCUGCUGUUCUAUGCCACUUGGAGCACCAGGGAGGCAGGCCAGGCACUGGAUCCAGGCCUGAUGAUUUUCCUAUCCGCCUUUAUUUCUCUUUUUCCUUUUCCUCUCUCUCUAAAAGUUGUUAAGUAAUGCAAGGCUUACUUGAAUUCAAAACGAACAGCACAGGUAGACAGAAUUGUAGGAAGACCAACGCAUGUAGGAUACCUGUUUUGUAGAAGUGUCCUAUUAAAGUUUAUCUUUUUUCCUCUUAUGUAUGGACCUUGAAUGUUGUUUUACCUUAAUCUAACCAGGGGGAUUUGUAAAUCUGGUCACUCCUCCCUCCCUUUGCAGACAGGACGUGACACACCCUGAACAAACGCUUGGCUAGAUAUAAGGACAGGCAACCAGCACACUAAAGCUGAGCAAACUCUACCUUCUUCCCACAAAGGCUAUUCAUGCAUUUGAUAAGUUAUCUGGGCUGUAAUAGCUGAUAACAGUCUUGUUAUCUGCACUGAGUACACAACGGUACAACCUCCUAGCUGGGAGUGGCAAUACUUUUGUAGUCUCCACUGAAGAUACAGAAGUAUGUACUGCGAACUGAUAUGGUGUCUCUAAGUCCUUGUUCAAGUAGCUGCAGUUUUCACUAAUACUACUAAACAGGAAAAGUAUUACUGACAAAAACAAAACAAACAAACUCAAUAACAACAACAAAAACCCACAACCAUCCAAAGCAAGAAAAUGAAGUCAUGAGGAAGCGUAUCUGCACGACAGAAAAAAUGAUGAAAGUGCUCUAGAAAGUAAAGCAGUUCUUGGAUGCAAAUGCUUCUGUAUCUACUGAUAAAAGAUGGCUCAGAAACAUCAGAGAUUAUCACCUUCUCCCUCAUGACAUCUAAGGCCAUGGCAUAAUGCAAAGCUAAAAUCUGGAACAUUGUAAACUGAUGUUUGUGUUAAGAGAGUUCCUGGUUUUGGCUGAGAUUCAUUACUAGUAACAACUUCUAGUGUGAAUGAUGUUUUCCUCUAAGCAGUGUGCUAAACUGUCAGGCACCAGUUACCCCAGAAAGCUUGACCUGAAGAUGCAAUUGGCUUCAACUAGUACAAACAGCUGCACCGAAAGGUCUAAGAGACAAAUCUUUAUUUUUGCACUACAGAUAGUUGGAAUAUAAAUAAAUAACUCCAUAAGAAAGUAAGGCAGGAGACUGCCCUAUCCUCAGAUUUUCUCUUAUCAACAUGAGUUGCUGAUUCACAGAACACAACAUCAUACAUUUUUGCACGUUGUUUGUUUGCCUAAUGGGAGUUGCAGUAAUGGACUAGAGGAAAGGCUGGGGGUGAGGAUUUCUCAAAAGACAUUGUUUAACUCACCUAAGUGUAUUAGCAUCUCUUACAUAACAGAGCUUCAUUACCAAAUGCUAACUAUUCAGAUGAUCGACAGCAUUUUACAUUCCUUUCUGGGCAUCAUUCUAACACUUUCCUGUGACAACUUUCAAAUUGUAAAAACACAUCUUUGAGUUUUUGCCAUCUUGGAAUACUGAUGCAACAGUACAGCAAAGUUAAAAUAUGACUGUGAAAAUAUGUUCCAAGACAUGCUACAAAGUAUUUAAAAUGCAAUUGCUCCUUAAUAGAUCAUACAGCCUGAAGCUUCCAAAAUUCUAGGAGAAAUAAAGUUAUCCAGUUUGACUUUGGGUUUUCUCAUUUGCUGUAGGCUUCAACAGGAAAGGCCUAUGCCUCUCUUGUAGAAUAUGCGGUUGGUUAAUAGCUACUUAAAUAAUACAGAGAGUAGAGAUCUCAUGGCUUUUUCAUGUUAAUCUUAAAUACAAGAAAUCUCUAUGGCUUUUCUCACCCUUUUAUGAAAUUACACAUACAGGUUUGUACACACAGCUGUUUUCCACUACAGCUUUCUUUAAAGCUAUGAACCCUCGGAUCCCAGCCUACUACUAGAGAACAGGCAAAAUUAUAAUUUUAGCCUUGCCUUUGCAUUUGGUUACUCUGAAGGAACAAAACCCUUUUCAAACAAUAUAAUAAACAAAGGAAGGCACACACUCUAGCUUGUCUCUGGACUUUGGCACUACUAUGUAUUGUAUGUUGCAAUGUCUGAGCCUGGCAAUCAUGUAUCAUAUUUAAAAUGUGUUCACAGAGUUCCUUGUAGGUUUAAAAUAACAAAGUAAAAGUCCAGCUGUCACAUAAGAGAUAAUUCAGUACAAGCUUUAAGAUAAAAGCAUACACAAGUCCCACUCAGUUCAGUGCUGCCAUCAUCUGAAGUCUUCUGUUACUUUUGUACCUUCUUGCUGAGAAAUCAUCUUGCAUUUUAAACCAAUUACAUAUCUAACACUUGCAUGUAACAAAAAGGGAAAAGAAAUUUGUGAAACAGUAAAUUUUACAAUCAUUGUUGUCCGGCUGCCUCCUUUUUCCUUGACAUAGGAGAGUUUUGCCCUACAAUUCUGUAUCUCACUUAGCUUCAGGAUACUCAUGAGUCACAUUUAGGCACAUUACAACAGAAAGGAAGAUGCAAAAGCAGACAAGCACUUGUGACAGAAUUCCAAGAGGCUUAGCAACUGGGAGUUUUCUGUAGAUCAAACUAUUUUUCUCUCCCAACAGUAUGAAAGAUAAACCCUAUGCUCAUGCUUUUAGUCUCACUGCAUGUUUCUGUAAGAAAAGCCUGGCGUACAGCUUCUGCCAAUGCUGCAGGAAAUAUUUAAGCUGAAUCAGACGUGUAGUUUUUUAUUUUAAUGGCAUGCUAUCACAUCAAUACCAACUAAAUGCAGCUUCUUUACUGUAACCACUGAAAAAUAUUCAACAUCUAAAUAAAAUAUUUUUGUAUUGAUUUGAGAAAAGGAUUUCCUUUAUACUCAUCUCAAGGUAAUACAGUCAGCAAUGCCAUAUAGCCAGUACAACAAAGAAACAAGGUCCCAAAAUAUAAGUGCUUCCUGAUGCAAGCUUUCAUUUGUAAAAGGUAGAGCCCUCAAGUUAGAUUCAUCUAUUCUUAGGAUUAAGUUUCUGCUUACAAAAAAUAAUAAUAAUUACAGUGAAUUUUUUCAUGGUACAACGUAUUACUCAACUCUGCCAUUUCAGUAUUUCUUUUCCCUGGAACUAAGACAAACUUUUAGAUUCUUAGAAACAGUGAUGCAGAUUUUAUAAAAGAACUUAAGGUUACUUAACUGAUUUGAUUAAAAUGCUCCUUAAAUAACUAAAAGACAUGGAAGCAAGUACUCAGGUACUACAUGCAGGAUGAAACUCAGAAGUACAUUUUAGCCUUUUCCUUUUAGCUUCUGAGGUUAUUUUCAGCAUUUUCAGAAAAUACAUUCCAUAUGCAGAACAUGAAAUGCAAAUAGGGAGCAAGAGAUGACAAAGUCCCAUUCUCGCGGCAUCAGUUCUCUCAAGGUCGUGUUUGUAAUGGUAUUAAACUCUGCUUGAAAACAUUCUGCAUAUAAGCCACUCCAUAGGUUUUUGUUCCGUAGUAGACAGUAAAAGGAUGCACAAAGUCUCUACUCUGUGUAAGUUUAACAUCAGCCCAAACUCAUGAUUUUAAAGAGAAAGAUAAGAAAGAGAGAAAGAUAAGGAAGUCGCUAUUGAAGUUUCUGCUGGUACACAGCAUGCAACUUUGGCGCAGGGCAUAGCCUCACUUUCUCUCACACUAACAGAGUGGUGUGGAGACUACCGGGUUGGUCUGCUCUGCUGGUGAAACCUGUUUCCCAGCCCAGCCUCACGCCUCUGCUGCUGUCAGGGAGCACUACCUAAGCACACUCCUUGCUUCCGCAUCUGUAUUGCGCCAAAGACUCAGAGGUACUGUGAUACCUUCUGAAACUAAUUAAGCUACUGGUAUGAAAAGUCAGUUGAGAACACAAGCCAUGGUAAUACUGAUGACGCACCAGCUGGAAAACUCACCAGUUUCACGUCUGUGCUUUAGUGACAGCUGGGACACCACUUGGAUUGACAUGAGGGCUCCCUCCGAGUUUUCAUCCUCUUUUUGGAGAGGAAUGUGCAUCUUCUUUCCAGUGGAAAGAAAAUUCACACAUUCUUGCAAAAGCCAAUCUGAUACUUCUCUGAAGCAAAGCCACUUGAAAAGCUUUCCUUCAUUUGUUUCUUUCUUUUCCAGUUUUCAAUUACAUCACAUUUUCUGUCCUUUAAGAAAUGCAAUCUUAUAAAAAAUUUUAGCUAGGUUCUUAGGUGGAAAAGCAGCAGACAUCAGGGUCUGCUGGGUCAUCACCAGUAACUAUGCUAGAGUUGUAAUUAAAUGUUGUACAAAUAUCAUAACCUUUAAGCAGCUGAUGUCAGGUCCAGAAACACAGUUGGAAUUUAGGCAGCUAACUCUUGAAGCAUUUUUUAUGGCUGCUUUCUACUCCUGAAGGCAUGAAUAGUCACCCAGGUAUCCCAAUUUUUCUCAAAUUGGGAAGAUUCCAUUUUUGUACAUGCCGAGAAACACCAUGGUCUUCAUAUGGUUUAGCAGCUUGUGGCCUACUUUAUAAUUAACCUGGAGCAGGGGCUCAACCAGGAAUUUCUCCCUGGACUGUGCUGUUCUAUAAAAAAAAAAGUAUAGAUUAUUAAAAAGAUGAUGCAGUGGAUCAAAAUGAAACAGAGAACAAAAAACAGCCAACAGACUGAAAAAAAUAUGGAUUUCAAAGAAUGGCUAUUUUAAGCUAUAUACAUGUGAAAGUGAAAAUCCUAUUUGGGAAUGAUUAGGAACUGUGGGAUUUGAUUAUUAACUGUAUGCACGUUAGAAGCCCUGCUCUGAAGGCGUACAUAACUUUUACCUUAGGAUUCAAUUUCGAGAUGUCAGCAGAAUGCUACUAAAAACUCCAACUUUGCAAAAAGAUUACAAACUUUUUAAUGAAAGGCAGAUUUUUGGAGAGAUUACUCUUCCUUUCAAGAUGUAAAUAUCACAGAACAAACUAAAACCAAACAGAGUAAUAAACAGAAAUAAUAAGAUAACAUGGCUUCUGGUUACUAUCUGUGAUAAACAGCAAAUAAUUUUAACACAGCAGAAAAAGGGAAAUAACAAAAUUAGCAUUUACAAAAAAAUCAAUUAACAAGCCCAGGGUAGAAUACCAUCAACUCAGUCCUGACCCCAGUUGCACUGUGUAUCAAACUAAGUUCAACGGACUGCUUCAUUGAUUUAUUUUUUUUCUGUCCUGAAGAGGAAAAAUGACCUUAGACCUGACACGGAAGGAUGAGAGAGGCAGUAGCAUGUUCUUCCAGUGUGGAGAGCUGCUGGACUAGCUCCUCACCACUAGGAUGAGAGCAAGGCAGGCAGCACAGCAGGAUGCAGAAGUGAGGACAGAGCAGGUAAGAGCAGUGCUCCAUCCAUCACCAGACACCACUGCUCUGAACAACAACGCAGUAAUGCUAUUCCAUAGCUUCUCUGGUUUCUGCCAGGAGAUGGGCUGUACUAUUCAUUGGCCUGUAAAGCACAAACACUGGAUUAGAGCUAGCGUUGCCACCCUUUAUUUCAGCAAUUACAAACUGAUGGCUGUGGUCACAUGAGAAACCAGCAACUGCCAGCCUGCAUGAGAGGACAAACCCGGAUUUCCUCUCUGCUACUUUCUAUGUCAGCAGAGAACACAAGAGCCUUGUCCCAGGCACACAAGAGGUAACACAACCAAGCUACUGGCUGGAACUGUCAUCUCUGCUUCAUAAGACAUACAGUGGUAGUCUUUUUUUCUCUUCUUCCUCAAGAGAGGAGAAAGCCAUUAGUUCAAAUCCUUGUCCUGAGAAGAGCAUAAAGCAGACCUCACCUUAAAACUCUCUUACACCCCAGAUGAAAGCAGCUUAACUCUGGGGGCGGACUGGAAUACGGCAGCAGCAAGUCUGGAGCUGCUUUGCGGUCAAUAAAAAUGGAAAUGUACCCCAAGAGGAGAGCAGACAGACAGACAGACUGACUCUUUCACUUUGUGCAUGACUACUGAAGCUAUGAAGUGGGACUGGAUGCCACGCCUGAUUCCGGGACCGUCUCUUGGUCAAUGUGUAAGGAGACAGCCACACCAAGCAACUAUGGCUUAUCCUACAGUGCCUGCUAACAUCAAGCCAUUCUACAGGGGUGUGGGUUCCAAUCCCUCCAAGCGAAGGAGGGAAAAAGAAUGCGGUUUCCUCACAUCCUAAAUCAACAUCCAAACAGUCAGCACACUGAAUGUAAGCCUGCUUUGGCAUCUUUCUCGACUUACCUCUUCAUUUCCUUUACUUUCCUUACAAGCGCUCCAGUAUAAAGAACAUUCUACCACGCAUCACAGCACAAUCUAGCAUUGUCUCCUACAGCAUCUCGAGCAAACCACAUUUUCCUGUGAGUGCUGUUGCUAAGUAACUAACUACUCUUACAAGAGAAACCCAGUUCCCUCCCAAAGUUUGGCAUCCCCGCCCUGGUGAGUAGCUGCAAUUUACCACAGGUAUUUAAAUGAUCCACAAGUGCUACACACGGGAGCAGCACAAGGAUGCUUCAGUUUUCCACUGCAGACAGAGAUAAUCCAGUUUAAACCAUCAUAAAAAGUUUGGAUUUUUACACACAAGAGGAAUCAGAGGCGGUUUCGAGGCAGUCACUGCUACCGCCUGCUGAAGCCUCAGCCCCAGCCCACAUCAGGGCACUGCAUUAAGCAGCUUGUGGCUGUCCUGGGGCAGUCCGCACACACAGCCCGCAUGAAUUUCUUCCAAGUAAUAAUUUACCUUACUGUUUUUAUUUUACAAAUGCCCUUCAUUGAAGAAUAUUUCAGAAUUCUUAACUGGCUUUAUCAUCUUCAGGGAUUUUUUUCUAGUUAGUAUGAAGCCAAUGCACAUAAAACGAAUGGCAGGGAACAAGAAGUGGAGUUGGGGGUGCUGAGAUUAAACAGUUUCCCUAUAUGUAUCACAUAGAAAACUAAAAGGCUGCAAGAUAAAUGCACGCAGAGGACAGAACUUAUUUACAUGAUGAAUGGCAAAUUCCAUCAGCUGAAUCUCAGAAACAACGCAGUGCUCCUUGCAAUUUCAUAUUGCUUCUCCUAGCUCAGAAACAUGGUACCAUCAGUUGGUACCACCAGAAUCAGCCCCCUUUUCUACAUUUGUCAAAAAACAUUUUACCUUUUUGUUUAAUAAAAACUCUUUGUAAUAAGCAAA
This is a long non-coding RNA of Numida meleagris (helmeted guineafowl), 19109 nucleotides long. RefSeq lists it as uncharacterized. The record is from RefSeq and is a predicted model, not a curated record. Lineage: Eukaryota; Metazoa; Chordata; Aves; Galliformes; Numididae. The transcript is spliced from 2 exons.